GGGCCAUUAGCUCAGCUGGUAGAGCAGCUGACUCUUAAUCAGCGGGUCGGAGGUUCGAAUCCUCCAUGGCUCACCA
Molecule: transfer RNA, 76 nt
Filed under: Nitrospiraceae bacterium
Lineage: Bacteria; Pseudomonadati; Nitrospirota; Nitrospiria; Nitrospirales; Nitrospiraceae
Also listed under: 1 other name
Description: tRNA-Lys
Rfam family: tRNA
About the family: Transfer RNA (tRNA) molecules are approximately 80 nucleotides in length. Their secondary structure includes four short double-helical elements and three loops (D, anti-codon, and T loops).
Source: RNAcentral